CCAACCAAAGGACUUUGGUUAAAGGAGAGAAAGAAUGACACUGGGGUUCAGGGCAAGGUCUCCUGUCCACAUGGUGAUGUGGUUACAGAGGCUUCCAGUGGGAACACACGGACUUCCCGCUCCCAUGCUCCAUCUGCCCACACUUGGUCAUAUCUUUGCUACCUUCCUGGCAUCUGAAGGGUCUAGGAGUCUGAAUGCCAUUAGGGCCGUGUGAAAUGAACUAUCACCCGUGAAGAAUUAGAGCCCGGGUUUGGAAGACUUCCUAUUGACUAACCUGCAGUAUAAUUUAUAAUUAUUUCUGUUUACACACGAGGUGGGGCAGAGAUGCCAAGAGGAAAACUGGCCUGGAGUUCACCUGAAUUUAAUAAAUUAAAUGAAGAAGAAACAAAGGAAAAAUGCUGGAUCUCAGAGCACAUCUCAGAGGCUUACGGGUGUGAUAGUUGUCGAAGGGAACUUGAGCCAGCCACCACCAGAGUCUGGGGUCUGGCUGCAGCAUCUCUGGGAAUGUUCAAGGCAUCAGAAGGGGCUCUACCCACCCCAGAGGUCUUUAAUCCUUGGGCAGUGGCUUCCGGCAAAACAAGAGAACAUUAAGUGUCCGUUACUAAGUCUGUGGUUAAUGUUUCAUACAGUCCAACUCAAAGCAAAUAAAUAUUUCAGCAAAAAGAA
Bubalus bubalis (water buffalo) is the source of this 666-nucleotide long non-coding RNA. RefSeq lists it as uncharacterized. The record is from RefSeq and is a predicted model, not a curated record. NCBI's taxonomy places the organism in Eukaryota, Metazoa, Chordata, Mammalia, Artiodactyla, Bovidae. The transcript has 3 exons.